RNAcentral lists this long non-coding RNA (721 nucleotides) under Malus domestica (apple). Its description in RNAcentral is "long non-coding RNA (MDOM_LNC016301)". Lineage: Eukaryota; Viridiplantae; Streptophyta; Magnoliopsida; Rosales; Rosaceae. The record is from RNAcentral.
GAAAAUCUGAGAGUUAACUAGUGAUGUCACGGUUAAUUUGGAGCAUUGUCGUACAUAAUUCAAUGAAGUAGUAACUGAAAAUCGAGUUAUUUGCAUACAUGUCAUGUGUGGAGAAAAAGCCUCUAACUAUCUCAUCCAUCAUUUUAUUUCUCAAAUUUGUUUUACAAUCUGUCUAGUUUUUCAUACUUGUUGGUUUGUUUCAACUUUGUCCAAAACUCAAUCCCCAUUUACUUUAGUGUGUCUAAUUAGUUAGAAUCUGUUUUAAUUUGUGUUUUUAAAUGUUUUGAUUCAAGUAAAAGUCAAUUUUCGUCCAAAGUCAUUCCUAGUGUCUAGUUUAAGUUUAUUUAGUUGUUCUAAGCUGGUUUGAGUAUUUUAAGUUUGCUUUGAGUCUUGUGAGUCUUGUUAAGUAUUUUUAAGUUUAGUUUUAUGUUUUUGAGUCAAUUUAGAGGUUAUUAGCAAGCCCUCCUAAUCCCCAGUCCAGAACGAUCCCUACUUAUACUUAUACUACAGUUGUCAAAAAAAGGUUAAAUUUGUGUGUUAAGUAAAUUCGCAUCAAAUUUUUGGCGCCGUUGCCGGGGAUUAGCAACUUUGCUAAUCCCUUGUUAUUUCUUUUUGUAUAUUUUCGUGUCUUUUGUUUUUAGUUACUGACUUUGUUUCUGUUUGUGUUUUUUUUUUUUUUUUGUUUUACUUUUGAUAUUUGAUUUAGUUUUGUUUCCUUGAU